RNAcentral lists this ribosomal RNA (408 nucleotides) under Triticum aestivum (bread wheat). RNAcentral describes it as "partial small subunit ribosomal RNA". The record is from RNAcentral. Lineage: Eukaryota; Viridiplantae; Streptophyta; Magnoliopsida; Poales; Poaceae.
AUGAGCCCCUGCGCAAGGUCCAACAGCCAUCUGUUAUCAUGCAUUGCUUCCUGGACAGUGCGCUUCUUCCUGACGGCUAUCUUAAAUAAGUUAGGGGCCACUGUUUUUGGGCACAAGUCUUGGAGCCAUCAAUCCUGCCAGAAGUUGGCCAACCUGCCGUCAUUCACUGUGAUUGUUGUUGCCAUAGAGAAAAGCGCCCCAUCGGAGCUGUCGCAUGGUAGGGUCGAGCCGACCCAAGGUCUCUGCGGCUCCUGCCAAGACAUCCAGAGCCAGCGUAGGCGGAGCACGCGCCCAAACCGCUCUAGAUCGAAAACUCCCAAGCCCCCCAAGUGCUUCGGCCUUGCCAGUAGCUUCCAGCUGACCCUACAUUCUCCACCAUUGCACGCCGACUCACCGCUCCACAACUAG